UUCUGAAGGCCGCAAUUAGCACUGCACAAUCGACCCUAUUACACUAGUGAUUUUACAUUAAAUCCCAGCUUCAUGUGAGAGAGAGGCUGCCGAUGAACGAAACAUUAGUCCAGCUUUUUGAUUCAGAGACGACGAUGGCGUUGGAGAGCGUGCUAACGUCAGCGCGUAAAUGCUCGCGGGAGCAGACGUCGUCCUGCCACUGAGCAGUGAACGACACGGAACCUUUCAGGCUGCAGCCGAAGUUGUUCGAGAGCUUCCGCACAUCGAACAAGCUCAUUAGCUGAUCCACAUUCCUGCUGAGAGCUGGGUUCAAGACGAGAAACGUUUUUCUUACCGGUCUGCUCUUCAAGAACAACCGGACCAACAGACGACAGAACCGUUCAUUAGAGGAAGAAACGGGCAGACGUCCUGCUGGCCCAGGUGCUGUACUUUCCCAGCUGCACGUGAACGCGACCGUCGCUGGAUCCUCUGUUCGGACGAGGUUGACGCGAGACUCAAAUCCGGCAAAUCCCCUCAGCGAAAAUCCUCCGACUCAGCUUUGAAAGGUGUCAAGGAGUCUGUGCAGCUGGUAGUUUAAGGGUCCACGUCGUCUCUGGUCACAUGAUGCCGUUGGUGACGUACUGGAAGGAGUCGUAGAGCUUGGUGGUGAUGGAGCGCAUGGAUCCGUCCACCAGCUGCUCCACCAGCAGCUGCAGCUGCUCCUCGGUCAGAGACAUGUGGAAACGCUCCUUCAGGCUGCGGAUGGUGCUGGAGCCGUGGAAACAGGGAAGGUGGGAACCUGGAGGGAAGAAAGAAUAAAGUGAGAGAAGCAUCUCCAACAGGCUCCUGGGCCGUCAACCCGCCGGGUCCACCGACGCUCGGCGGUCGGGCUGGCCAUCGAAAUUCAAUACGCUCCAGUGCUACCGCGUACCGAGAGAGGGCCGGUCUGGUACGAAGGAUCCAGACUUCAAUUCGUUCACUGAUCAGUUUUCCCCCGAAUCGCUUCAGCCUACAAGCCAGAGGAAAAAUCUCGGCGAUAUGUCGCUAUUUCAUUUUGAGCGAUGUGCAGAGUGUCGACACAGCCAAUGGAAACUUUUCGUCGCGACGAUACCGACACCUGCUGCGGGAUCCAGGACUUCCCUUUUCUCUGUCUGUGCUGAAGCGGAUUAAAUUGGUCGUCUGUUCUCUGCUUAGCGGAAUCAUCUGGAGUCACUGCACAGCUGGACCAGGGAACUUGACAGCGACAGUCUCGCUCUGGAUGCAGAUUAUUUCUACUCAACUGUUUUACACAUGAGGACUUGAAAUAUGACAUUUGAUUCAGGCUUUAGUCUCGUUGCUUUAUGCAGGAAACAAAAUAUCACGAAUCGUGAUUCAUUUUUCGCUUCAUCACCCAGCACGACCUGCAUCCUUCUCUAAAUUCAUUAAUAAGGUAACAUCUGCCAGCUCAGAUUCGGUAGGUAACGGUACCGAGGAAGCCGGGGAGCGGGAUCAGAAGAUCAUUUCUGUUUGAAAAAUGAAAUGAUUUGUAAUAAAAACCUGAUAAAACCCUGCCUAUAAAAUAAACAUCAUAAAAAUGUAGAGCAUGUAAUAAUUUUCUGCCCAUAAACACAAAAACUUCUAAUACCUGAUGACAAAUUGAAAUAAUGAACCAAAAUAAAAAUGAUUACA
Molecule: long non-coding RNA, 1647 nt
Organism: Xiphias gladius (swordfish)
Lineage: Eukaryota; Metazoa; Chordata; Actinopteri; Istiophoriformes; Xiphiidae
Exons: 3
Source: RefSeq, a predicted model, not a curated record